RNAcentral lists this ribosomal RNA (497 nucleotides) under uncultured bacterium. RNAcentral describes it as "partial 16S ribosomal RNA". It matches the Rfam family "Bacterial small subunit ribosomal RNA", at positions 28 to 507 of the family's 1533-position model. The record is from RNAcentral.
GAUGAACGCUGGCGGCGUGCCUAAUACAUGCAAGUCGAGCGAACGGACGAGAAGCUUGCUUCUCUGAUGUUAGCGGCGGACGGGUGAGUAACACGUGGAUAACCUACCUAUAAGACUGGGAUAACUUCGGGAAACAGGAGCUAAUACCGGAUAAUAAUUUGAACCGCAUGGUUCAAAAGUGAACGACGGUCUUGCUGUCACUUAUAGAUGGAUCAGCGCUGCAUUAGCUAGUUGGUAAGGUAAAGGCUUACCAAGGCAACGAUGCAUAGCCGAUCUGAGAGGAUGACCGGCCACACUGGAACUGAGACACGGCCCAGACUCCUACGGGAGGCAGCAGUAGGGAAUCUUGCACAAUGGGCGAAAGCCUGACAUAGCAACGCCGCGUGAAUGAUGAAGGUCUUCGGAUCGUAAAACGCUUUUAUAAGGGAAGAACAUAUGUGUAAGUAACUAGGCACUUCUUGACGGUACCGUAAGAGAAAGCCACGGCUAACUACGUG